Molecule: non-coding RNA, 92 nt
Organism: Mycena vulgaris
Lineage: Eukaryota; Fungi; Basidiomycota; Agaricomycetes; Agaricales; Mycenaceae
Source: the annotation of a GenBank genome assembly
UCAGACAUGGUGUAGUGGGAACACGGCCUCUACUUGUGAUCCAAUAUUCUAGGUGUCAGAGGGAGUUCAGGGUUCGAAUCCCUGUGUCUGAA